GAUCUGACUACCAUGGUGAUCACGCGUAACGGAGAAUAAGGGUUCGGCUCCGGAGAGUUCGCCUGAGAAAUCGCGAACACAUCUAAGGAAGGCAGCAGGCGCGAAAAUUACCCACUCUCAGCACGAGGAGGUAGUGACGAAAAAUAACGAGACCGUUCUCUUAUGAGGCCGGUCAUCGGAAUGGGUACAAUUUAAACCCUUUAACGAGUAUCUAUGAGAGGGCAAGUCUGGUGCCAGCAGCCGCGGUAAUUCCAGCUCUCAAAGUGCAUAGAAUUAUUGCUGCGGUUAAAAAGCUCGUAGUUGGAUCUGUGCCAUAGGACGUGGUCCACCUUCGGGUGCGUACUACGCUCCUAGGCUUUUUGCUGGUUUUCCCGUCGUAGCCUUCACUGGUUGCGGCGGGUGGCUGGCGAGUUUACUUUGAGAAAAUCAGAGUGCUCAAUACAGGCGUAUCGCUUGAAUGAUUGUGCAUGGAAUAAUAGAAAAGGAUUUCGGUCCUCUUUUAUUGGUUUUGUGGACUGAGAUAAUGGUUAACAGGGACAAACGGGGGCAUUCGUAUCUCUGCGUGAGAGGUGAAAUUCUUGGACCGUAGAGAGACGCCCUACUGCGAAAGCAUUUGCCAAAUGUCUUCAUUAAUCAAGAACGAAAGUCAGAGGUUCGAAGGCGAUCAGAUACCGCCCUAGUUCUGACCGUAAACGAUGCCAACUAGCGAUCCGCCGGUGGAUUUUUAGCCCUGGUGGGUAGCUUCCCGGAAACGAAAGUCUUCCGGUUCCGGGGGAAGUAUGGUUGCAAAGCUGAAACUUAAAGGAAUUGACGGAAGGGCACCACCAGGAGUGGAGCCUGCGGCUUAAUUUGACACAACACGGGGAAACUCACCCGGCCCGGACACCGUAAGGAUUGACAGAUUGAUAGCUCUUUCAUGAUUCGGUGGUUGGUGGUGCAUGGCCGUUCUUAGUUCGUGGAUCGAUUUGUCUGGUUUAUUCCGAUAACGAGCGAGACUCUAGCCUACUAAAUAGUAACGAGAUUAUCAAUGUCUCAGUUGCUUCUUAGAGGGAUUUUCGGUGUUUAGCCGCACGAGAUUGAGCAAUAACAGGUCUGUGAUCCCCUUAGAUGUCCGGGGCUGCACGCGCGCUACACUGGCGAAAUCAGCGUGCUGUAUCCAUUCUCGAAAGGGAUUGGUAAACCCAUGAAAAUUUGCCGUGCUUGGGAUCGGAAAUUGCAAUUAUUUUCCGUGAACGAGGAAUUCCAAGUAAGUGCGAGUCAUCAACUCGCUCUGAUUACGUCCCUGCCCUUUGUACACACCGCCCGUCGCUGCCCGGGACUGAGCCAUUUCGAGAAGAUCAGGGACUGGUGGACUGUGGCCUCUUCGGAGGUCCGGUUCGCUGGAAACUGAUUUGAUCGCAGUGGCUUGAACCGGGCAAAAGUCGUAACAAGGUA
This 1434-nucleotide ribosomal RNA is filed under the name metagenome. RNAcentral describes it as "SSU rRNA". It matches the Rfam family "Eukaryotic small subunit ribosomal RNA", at positions 334 to 1801 of the family's 1831-position model. The record is from RNAcentral.